Molecule: long non-coding RNA, 453 nt
Filed under: Homo sapiens (human)
Lineage: Eukaryota; Metazoa; Chordata; Mammalia; Primates; Hominidae
Description: HSALNT0065186
Source: RNAcentral
CCAGCCUGGCUUUUCUAUCUGAAUCUUUCAAAAAUGUUUUUGGCACUAUGGUUUUGAAUGUCAACAUAUCAUUAGACAGUUGACCACGGACCAUAGCUCACGUGCUCUAGGUAUGGACAUAGCUUGUCUAAUCUCCAAUCGUUGGCAGGGAAUGGAGCAUUUGCCCUUCUGUAUGACCACAGCUACUCUCACUUGGAGGAUCAUCAAUAGACAAGGGUCAACCAGCUCCAGAGGAAGCCUCUUCUACAGCUCAGAGAACCUAUUCCUUUAAGUUUCCUCACCUCUGUUCCAAUGCCAGACAAGACUUUUACUGCAAACACUUCAGUAUCAUUUCUAAUAAAGAUAGCUUCCUAGCUGAAUAUCUCCAACAUACAUACAAUCUGUUGUAUUUCAAUGCCCUUCUUCAAAGGGCACUUGGUGUUUGAGCUCUAGUAUAUUCAAGUGAAAUAUGUC